UGCAAAAUCUAUGUUGUGGGUCGGAAUCUGCAUGUUGCUGUGGGUCACAUCUCUAAGCUCAAGCAAAAAGGCACUUGCGAAAAAAAGUGGAGCUUCAGUGUUACAUGGCAUGUAGUAGAUCCUCCAGAUACUUUUUCUGACCUGACACCCUCAAGCUCUCAGGUUCUGUAUGCUUAGCUUUUCUGUGAUAUUUGUUCUACCAUCUUGUCUUGCAUGCUAUUGAAUAAAUUGUAACUAUAUGUAUUUGUGAAAGCUGUAGAGUGCUAAUGGCUGCGUGUAGAACAAAUGUAUCAAUUAUAUGGUGGUUUCCCAGUUCAUCUUUCUGUUUAGUUAUUACAUUUGUUCUACACGCAGCCAUUAGCA
This 363-nucleotide unclassified non-coding RNA is filed under the name Hevea brasiliensis (rubber tree). The record is from RNAcentral. Lineage: Eukaryota; Viridiplantae; Streptophyta; Magnoliopsida; Malpighiales; Euphorbiaceae.